UGUCUUUUUGAGAAUAAUAUAAGGUCUAAUCUGCCCACUGAUUUAAUUGAAGGGCUGCAGUAUAUUGACUGUACAAAGGUAGCAUAAUCAUUAGUCAUUUAAUUGAUGACUUGUAUGAAGGAUUGGAUGAAAUAUAAACUGUCUCUUUAUUAAUAAUAGAAUUUAAUUUUUUAAUUAAAAAGUUAAAAUAUUUUAAAAAGACGAGAAGACCCUAUAGAGUUUUAUAAAUAAAAUAAUUAAGAUUAUUUAAUUUAAUAAAAUUAAGAUUAUAUUAUUUAUUUUGUUGGGGUGACAGAAAAAUAUAUUUAACUUUUUUUUUAUUUAAAACAUUUAUAAGUGGUUAAAUGAUCCAAUAUUAUUGAUUAUAAGAAAAAAUUACCUUAGGGAUAACAGCGUAAUUUUUUUUUUUAGUCCAAAUAAGAAAAAGAGUUUGCGACCUCGAUGUUGGAUUAAGAUAAAAUUUAAAUGCAGAAG
Molecule: ribosomal RNA, 474 nt
Filed under: Poeonoma serrata
Lineage: Eukaryota; Metazoa; Arthropoda; Insecta; Lepidoptera; Noctuidae
Description: partial 16S large subunit ribosomal RNA
Source: RNAcentral